GACGAACGCUGGCGGCGUGCUUAACACAUGCAAGUCGAACGGAAAGGCCCUGCUUUUGUGGGGUGCUCGAGUGGCGAACGGGUGAGUAACACGUGAGUAACCUGCCCUUGACUUUGGGAUAACUUCAGGAAACUGGGGCUAAUACCGGAUAGGAGCUCCUGCUGCAUGGUGGGGGUUGGAAAGUUUCGGCGGUUGGGGAUGGACUCGCGGCUUAUCAGCUUGUUGGUGGGGUAGUGGCUUACCAAGGCUUUGACGGGUAGCCGGCCUGAGAGGGUGACCGGCAAAAUGGGAACGGGGAACCGGCCAAGACCCCUAGGGGGGGAGAAGGGGGGGAAAUUGGCAAAGGGGGGGGAGGCCUGUGGCGGAACCCCGCGGUGGGGAAGGAGGGCUUUGGGGUGGAAACCCCUUUUCCCCGGGAAGAAGGGGGGGGGGAGGGAAAGGGGAAAGGAAGACCCGGCAAACUAGGG
Molecule: ribosomal RNA, 467 nt
Filed under: uncultured bacterium
Lineage: Bacteria
Description: partial 16S ribosomal RNA
Rfam family: Bacterial small subunit ribosomal RNA
Source: RNAcentral